This 115-nucleotide small nucleolar RNA is filed under the name Chinchilla lanigera (long-tailed chinchilla). RNAcentral's name for it is "Small nucleolar RNA SNORA40 (ENSCLAG00000018680.1)". It matches the Rfam family "Small nucleolar RNA SNORA40". From Rfam's summary of the family: The snoRNA ACA 40 belongs to the H/ACA family of snoRNAs and guides the pseudouridylation of 28S rRNA subunit at position U4565. NB This family has a high threshold value to exclude a large number of closely related sequences that do not appear to have conserved H and ACA boxes, and may be pseudogenes. The record is from RNAcentral. Lineage: Eukaryota; Metazoa; Chordata; Mammalia; Rodentia; Chinchillidae.
GGCCCUAGUGUGUGUAAGUUAUAUACAGAGAUUUAUAGACAGGUGCAAAAAAUAAAUCUUUUGCCACUCAAAACUCAUUGUUCAGUAUGUUUUGAUGCAUAUAAGAAGGGUUUUU